AGUGAACGCUGGCGGUAGGCCUAACACAUGCAAGUCGAACGGCAGCACAGUAAGAGCUUGCUCUUACGGGAGGCGCGUGGCGGACGGGUGAGGAAUAUAUCGGAAUCUACUUUUUCGUGGGGGAUAAUGUAGGGAAACUUACGCUAAUACCGCAUACGACCUACGGGUGAAAGCAGGGGAUCUUUGGACCUUGCGCGAUUGAAUGAGCCGAUGUCGGAUGAGCUAGUUGGCGGGGUAAAGGCCCACCUAGGCGACGAUCCGUAGCUGGUCUGAGAGGAUGAUCAGCCACACUGUAGCUGAGACACAGUCCAGACUCCUACGGUAGGAAGCAGUGGAGAAUAUUGGACAAUGGGGGCGAGCCUGAUCCAGCCAUACCGCGGGGGUGAAGAAGGCCUUCGGGUUGUAAAGCCCUUUUGUUGGGAGAGAAAAGCAGCAGGUUAAUCCCCCGCUAUUCUGACGGUACCCAAAGAAUAAGCACCGGCUAACUUCGUG
RNAcentral lists this ribosomal RNA (492 nucleotides) under uncultured bacterium. Its description in RNAcentral is "partial 16S ribosomal RNA". It matches the Rfam family "Bacterial small subunit ribosomal RNA", at positions 29 to 507 of the family's 1533-position model. The record is from RNAcentral.